This 464-nucleotide ribosomal RNA is filed under the name Vreelandella stevensii. Its description in RNAcentral is "partial 16S ribosomal RNA". It matches the Rfam family "Bacterial small subunit ribosomal RNA", at positions 338 to 795 of the family's 1533-position model. Lineage: Bacteria; Pseudomonadati; Pseudomonadota; Gammaproteobacteria; Oceanospirillales; Halomonadaceae. The record is from RNAcentral.
CCUACGGGAGGCAGCAGUGGGGAAUAUUGGACAAUGGGGGGAACCCUGAUCCAGCCAUGCCGCGUGUGUGAAGAAGGCCCUCGGGUUGUAAAGCACUUUCAGUGAGGAAGAACGCCUGGUGGUUAAUACCCAUCAGGAAAGACAUCACUCACAGAAGAAGCACCGGCUAACUCCGUGCCAGCAGCCGCGGUAAUACGGAGGGUGCGAGCGUUAAUCGGAAUUACUGGGCGUAAAGCGCGCGUAGGUGGCUUGAUAAGCCGGUUGUGAAAGCCCCGGGCUCAACCUGGGAACGGCAUCCGGAACUGUCAAGCUAGAGUGCAGGAGAGGAAGGUAGAAUUCCCGGGGAAGCGGUGAAAUGCGUAGAGAUCGGGAGGAAUACCAGUGGCGAAGGCGGCCUUCUGGACUGACACUGACACUGAGGUGCGAAAGCGUGGGUAGCAAACAGGAUUAGAUACCCUGUAGUC